CGUGAGCAAUCUGCCUUGGAGUGGGGAAUAACGGUUGGAAACAGCCGCUAAUACCGCAUGAUGCGUCUGGGAGGCAUCUCUCUGGACGCCAAAGAUUUAUCGCUCUGAGAUGAGCUCGCGUCUGAUUAGCUUGUUGGCGGGGUAAAGGCCCACCAAGGCGACGAUCAGUAGCCGGACUGAGAGGUUGGCCGGCCACAUUGGGACUGAGACACGGCCCAGACUCCUACGGAAGGCAGCAG
Molecule: ribosomal RNA, 239 nt
Filed under: uncultured bacterium
Lineage: Bacteria
Description: partial 16S ribosomal RNA
Rfam family: Bacterial small subunit ribosomal RNA
Source: RNAcentral